AUUUAAAUAGUUUAAUUAAAAUAUUGAUUUGUGGUUUCAAUGAUAUAAGAGAAAUUUUAUUUUAAAUU
This 68-nucleotide transfer RNA is filed under the name Coquillettidia chrysonotum. RNAcentral's name for it is "tRNA-His". The record is from RNAcentral. Lineage: Eukaryota; Metazoa; Arthropoda; Insecta; Diptera; Culicidae.